GGCGUGUACUGCUUGGCUGGGCCUUACUUCUUGGUGAGCCGGCGUGCCCUUUAUUGGUGUGCGUCGGGGAACCAGGACUUUUACCUUGAAAAAAUUAGAGUGUUCAAAGCAGGCCUAUGCCUGAAUACAUUAGCACGGAAUAAUAGAAUAGGACGUGCGGUUCUAUUUUGUUGGUUUCUAGAGUCCCCGUAAUGAUUAAUAGGGACAGUUGGGGGCAUUGGUAUUGAGUCGUUAGAGGUGAAAUUCUUGGAUUGACUCAAGACCGACUAUUGCGAAAGCAUUUGCCAAGGAUGUUUUCUUUAAUCAAGAACGAAGGUUAGGGGAUCGAAAACGAUCAGAUACCGUUGUAGUCUUAACAGUAAACUAUGCCGACUAGGGAUCGGAUGACCUCAAAAUUGAUGUGUCUUUUGGCACCUUACGAGAAAUCAAAGUCUUUGGGUUUUGGGGGGAGUAUGGUCGCAAGGCUGAAACUUAAAGGAAUUGACGGAAGGGCACCCCCAGGUGUGGAGCCUGCGGCUUAAUUUGACUCAACACGGGGAAACUCACCAGGUCCAGACAUAACUAGGAUUGACAGAUUGAUAGCUCUUUCAUGAUUUUAUGGGUGGUGGUGCAUGGCCGUUCUUAGUUGGUGGAGUGAUUUGUCUGGUUAAUUCCGAUAACGAACGAGACCUUAACCUCCUAAAUAGCCAGCCCGGCUUCGGCUGGUCUCUGGCUUCUAGAGGGACUGUCAG
Molecule: ribosomal RNA, 731 nt
Filed under: uncultured eukaryote
Lineage: Eukaryota
Description: SSU rRNA
Rfam family: Eukaryotic small subunit ribosomal RNA
Source: RNAcentral